This 2985-nucleotide ribosomal RNA is filed under the name Triticum aestivum (bread wheat). RNAcentral describes it as "partial small subunit ribosomal RNA". Lineage: Eukaryota; Viridiplantae; Streptophyta; Magnoliopsida; Poales; Poaceae. The record is from RNAcentral.
AAAAUCCUGAUUGGCCUCUCUGCCGUUCCCCACGCGACAGAUCCCCACCGCAGACCUCGCCACCGCCGCCGCCGCCGCCGCCGCGGCGUAGGUUGUUGCGCGCUGACGGCCACGCGCGGCAGGAGAGGUCGAGGAGAUACGGAGGUCGGCGGGUGUCCCGAAGAGGCCGCCGUCGCAUCUCCGGCCGUCCGCGAUAGCCCUGUACGGCGGAAAACUACUAGUCCGCCGUCCAUCGCGGGGGGCCGCCGGCGCGGUAGACCAGAGCUCCUGCGGCAUCCAAUCUCUGCCCAUCAAAUUAGUGCUCGUUGCUCGGUAUGCUAGCACUGGUAUGGAUAUAUUAGCAGCAGAGACGAAUUUCUUUAUACAUAUAGGCUGUUUGUUACCGCGGCGAUACCAUCAAGUUGGUGGAGAAAUCCCUAUUUCUUCGCGGUAGAGGACUGCAUACAAGUAAUUUGAUGUGCCCAAGUAUCUGAUUACUCACUUGUUUGUGCAAUGAGCGUGGAUUCAGGUUGUUGGGAGCAACAGAAGGGGAUUAGCAUUUGUUUGCAGGUUCACUUCAGAGGCUGCUUUGAUCUGAGAAUCUCUCUGACUCCCCAAACUCCUGUGGAUUGUCAAGGAGAUUAAAUAGUGUCGACAGGCCUUGCGAGAUUCCAGUGGAUUCGCAAGUGACAGUUUCCCGUUAGAAAGAUGGCUGACUUUUAGUUUAGGUCAUCAGUCUUAUCAGUUUGCUCAUGUACCGUGCUUUUGCAUUGAAUUUACAGUGUGGAUUGUGGAAGGAAGCUCCAUGCUGCUGAAGCAAGAUAGAGGAUCUGACUCCUGAUUGGACAGACAUUUGUCUUACUUGUCUCAUGCCAUCGACUUAAAUUGGACUGGACAAUCAGCAAAGUCAAAUGGCAGAACCAUAGCCAUCGUAUUCAUCAUCAUCUCGUGGGAAAAAGAAGCGACCACGCCCUCCUAAUGACGAUGCCACAAGUUCACAAGGCAGAUCCGAGCAUGGCACAAGCCUUGAGGACAACCUUAUAUUCAGUGAUACUUUGAUAGCUCUACAGUUGAUGCGCACACAGUUCCCAAAGCUAGAGAAGGACAGUAUUCCUGUGCCACAAGGUGCUCUGGAAAGCCAAAGUGCCUGUCAAGUGCCUUUUCUUCAUCUGGUUAGCACUGCAGCACCAUUGCUGGGAGUUGACCAGCUAAAAUGCCUGCAGCUGCCCAAACACGCCGAGACGGUGAACACUGCUCCUGGUUGAGAUGGAAUCUGCUGUCAGGAGGUCAACGGGUAAAAACAAAGAUGGUAGUGAAGUGUUUGAUUGGUUUGAGAAAUAUGUUCUGCGUUCGAAAUUGGAUGUUAGCAUUGAUCACCUAGAGCUGUGCUCACUGUUAUCACAUGGUGGUGAUGCAAGAGAUAAACAUAUCACCUUAUUGAUGAAUGCUGGUCUCCUGACACGCCAACUAAUAGAUCCAAACAUGUACUGGUUUUCUAUUCCAAGUAUUGGUCCUAUCCCAGACCUCGUCACAACUGAUAGAAGACAAGAAUUGACGUUCGUCAAAAGUAACGACAUCAUUAAACUUGAUAGGAGCAAGACAUAUCCUCCUGCCUGGUUUCAAAAACUGGUGUAUCUGCUAAUGAUGAAUUGGGGGAUUGUGUGCUCUCUUCCAGGUCAAGAUCACAGGGUUGUCCUGUGUUCUCUCUUCCAGGUCAAGAUCAGGGUUGUCCUGUGUUCUCUCUUCCAGGUCAAGAUCAGGGUUGUCCUGUGUUCUCUCUUCCAGGUGAUGGGCGUUGUUGUCCUGCCUGGUCUCUUCCUGGUGAGGAACAGAGUUGUCCGGGUUACUGACAACAUCUACAACAUCCAUGCUCUCAUGAGGUUCGUUCUGAGAGACAACACCCAUGAUCUCUUCCUGGCAACUGACAUGAGGUUUGGGGUCUUCCGCAUUUUGGUGGUCAUCAUGAGGUGAUGGGCAUGAGGUGUGAUCUCUUCGGGGCGAGGGAACGGAGUUGUCCUGGUCACUUCCUGGAUCAAAAUCCAUCCUCUCUUCCUGGCCACUAACCUGAGGUUCGACCUGGUUGUUCUGUGUCUCUUCCAUCCUCUCUUCCCGUGCAUCUUCCGCAUUUUGGUCAUCUUCGGGGUUGUCCUGUGUGAUCUUCAUCCUUUCUUCCUGGCCACUGACCUGAGGUCCGACCUGAGGUUCGACCUGGUUGUUCUGUGUCUCUUCCAUCCUCUCUUCCCGUGCAUCUUGGACAUGAGAUUCGUCAUGAGAUUCGUCCAUGCUCGUUUCCUGGUGACUGACAAAACCCUCCUCAUCAUCCUCAUCCUCAUCCUCCUCCUCCUCCUCGGCUGCUCGGCAUGGAAGGUUUCUCUUGUUCAAAUUGUGACGGAGGAGGCUGAUAGAAAGCUCCUUGCGGAACUUCAACACCUUUUCCUGCAUUUUUCAGGCAUAAAUCAUUUGUUUCAGAAUUUGAAUAGAACAAAACUUGAAAAACAAGGAUCAAUGUUUACCUCAUCGAUGUUAGAUACCGCCAUCUGCUCUAGCCCUUGGAUAUAUAAUAGAACAUGAAAUCCACAAUCACGACUGCAAUAAUUUAAUUGCAAUAAUCAGUGCUAGAAAAGGUGGUAAACACAGACUACGGUUUGUGUCAUCCACUUACGUAUUCUUUUGAUGUUCAACCUCUGGAAACUCUACAUCAUAAUCAGAAAUGUUGAUGUUAUGUUUAGCGCUUAAAUAUGAUUCCAGCUUAGUCAACACAUCACGUGCCACGUCUUGAUGUAUCCCUGGACAGGAGUCCAGGAUAUAUUUCUUUUUUGCCGUAAUAGAAACGGCAACCAAGGAAUAAUGAUGACGGUAAACUAUAGGAAUGAAUAGCUGAAAAAAAUCUACUGUCAAAACUCAUGACAUUGAAAUACAAAGAUCUGAUACAAUAAAUACACAAACCUGUGUCAUAUCCUUCACUUUCUCUGUUGUAAGCUGCUUGUCCAGAUAUUUAGUUUCAUC